RNAcentral lists this long non-coding RNA (224 nucleotides) under Elaeis guineensis (African oil palm). RNAcentral's name for it is "long non-coding RNA (EGUI_LNC036165)". Lineage: Eukaryota; Viridiplantae; Streptophyta; Magnoliopsida; Arecales; Arecaceae. The record is from RNAcentral.
CUGGUAACCUAACAAUUCUAAUGCACCAUUCUUAUUCAAUAAGUCUUCCAAAUAUAAACACAUUCAGACAAAUUGGCUUCCUACCUAUGCCAAUCAAAUUUGGUCCGACAAGCAGGAGAAAAUGAUAUAAGGUAAUGUUUUCGGAAAAAGGCUUUCGCUAGGAAAUGCUUUUGGAUUUUAGUGCAACUGCCCUGCCUUGGAUUUUGAUAUCAAAGUAUGGAUGC